GUGGGGAAUUUUGGACAAUGGGCGCAAGCCUGAUCCAGCAAUGCCGCGUGCAGGAAGAAGGCCUUCGGGUUGUAAACUGCUUUUGUACGGAACGAAACGGCUCUGGUUAAUACCUGGGGCUAAUGACGGUACCGUAAGAAUAAGCACCGGCUAACUACGUGCCAGCAGCCGCGGUAAUACGUAGGGUGCAAGCGUUAAUCGGAAUUACUGGGCGUAAAGCGUGCGCAGGCGGUUUUGUAAGACAGGCGUGAAAUCCCCGGGCUCAAUCUGGGAAUGGCGCUUGUGACUGCAAGGCUGGAGUGCGGCAGAGGGGGAUGGAAUUCCGCGUGUAGCAGUGAAAUGCGUAGAUAUGCGGAGGAACACCGAUGGCGAAGGCAAUCCCCUGGGCCUGCACUGACGCUCAUGCACGAAAGCGUGGGGAGCAAACAGGAUUAGAUACCCCAGUAGUCC
RNAcentral lists this ribosomal RNA (450 nucleotides) under uncultured bacterium. Its description in RNAcentral is "partial 16S ribosomal RNA". It matches the Rfam family "Bacterial small subunit ribosomal RNA", at positions 354 to 796 of the family's 1533-position model. The record is from RNAcentral.